AUAAGGGCGCACGGUGGAUGCCUUGGCACUAGAAGCCGAUGAAGGACGUGACUAACGACGAAAUGCUUUGGGGAGCUGUAAGUGAGCAAUGAUCCAGAGAUGUCCGAAUGGGGGAACCCGGCAGGUAAUGCCUGUCACUCAUUACUGUUAAGGUAAUGUAGAGGAAGACGCAGUGAACUGAAACAUCUAAGUAGCUGUAGGAAGAGAAAGCAAAAGCGAUUGCCUUAGUAGCGGCGAGCGAAACGGCAAGAGGGCAAACCGAAGAGUUUACUCUUCGGGGUUGUAGGACUGCAACGUGGACUUAAAGAUUAUAGAAGAACUACCUGGGAAGGUAGGCCAAAGAGAGUAAUAGCCUCGUAUUCGAAAUAGUCUUUAUACCUAGCAGUAUCCUGAGUACGGCGAGACACGAGAAAUCUCGUCGGAAUCUGGGAGGACCAUCUCCCAACCCUAAAUACUCUCUAGUGACCGAUAGUGAACCAGUACCGUGAGGGAAAGGUGAAAAGCACCCCGGGAGGGGAGUGAAAUAGAACCUGAAACCGUGUGCCUACAACAAGUUCGAGCCCGUUAAUGGGUGAGAGCGUGCCUUUUGUAGAAUGAACCGGCGAGUUACGAUAUGAUGCGAGGUUAAGUUGAAGAGACGGAGCCGUAGGGAAACCGAGUCUUAAUAGGGCGCAUUAGUAUCAUGUCGUAGACCCGAAACCAUGUGACCUACCCAUGAGCAGGUUGAAGGUGAGGUAAAACUCACUGGAGGACCGAACCAGGGCACGUUGAAAAGUGCUUGGAUGACUUGUGGGUAGCGGAGAAAUUCCAAACGAACUUGGAGAUAGCUGGUUCUCUCCGAAAUAGCUUUAGGGCUAGCGUCGAUGUUAAGUCUCUUGGAGGUAGAGCACUGUUUGGGUGAGGGGUCCAUCCCGGAUUACCAAUCUCAGAUAAACUCCGAAUGCCAAUGAGAUAUAAUCGGCAGUCAGACUGCGAGUGCUAAGAUCCGUAGUCGAAAGGGAAACAGCCCAGACCACCAGCUAAGGUCCCAAAAUAUAUGUUAAGUGGAAAAGGAUGUGGGGUUGCACAGACAACUAGGAUGUUAGCUUAGAAGCAGCUAUUCAUUCAAAGAGUGCGUAAUAGCUCACUAGUCGAGUGACCCUGCGCCGAAAAUGUACCGGGGCUAAAACAUAUUACCGAAGCUGUGGAUACCUUUAUAGGUAUGGUAGGAGAGCGUUCUAUGUGCGAAGAAGGUGUACCGUGAGGAGUGCUGGAGCGCAUAGAAGUGAGAAUGCCGGUAUGAGUAGCGAAAGACAGGUGAGAAUCCUGUCCACCGUAAGACUAAGGUUUCCAGGGGAAGGCUCGUCCGCCCUGGGUUAGUCGGGACCUAAGGAGAGACCGAAAGGUGUAUCCGAUGGACAACAGGUUGAUAUUCCUGUACUAGAGUAUAUAGUGAUGGAGGGACGCAGUAGGCUAACUAAACCAGACGAUUGGAAGUGUCUGGCCAAGCAGUGAGGUGUGAUAUGAGUCAAAUGCUUAUAUCUUUAACAUUGAGCUGUGAUGGGGAGCGAAGUUUAGUAGCGAAGUUAGUGAUGUCACACUGCCGAGAAAAGCUUCUAGCGUUAAUUAUACUCUACCCGUACCGCAAACCGACACAGGUAGUCGAGGCGAGUAGCCUCAGGUGAGCGAGAGAACUCUCGUUAAGGAACUCGGCAAAAUGGCCCCGUAACUUCGGGAGAAGGGGCGCUGACUGAUGGUCAGCCGCAGUGAAUAGGCCCAAGCAACUGUUUAUCAAAAACACAGCUCUCUGCUAAAUCGUAAGAUGAUGUAUAGGGGGUGACGCCUGCCCGGUGCUGGAAGGUUAAGAGGAGUGCUUAGCGUAAGCGAAGGCAUGAAUUGAAGCCCCAGUAAACGGCGGCCGUAACUAUAACGGUCCUAAGGUAGCGAAAUUCCUUGUCGGGUAAGUUCCGACCCGCACGAAAGGCGUAAUGAUUUGGGCACUGUCUCAACGAGAGACUCGGUGAAAUUUUAGUACCUGUGAAGAUGCAGGUUACCCGCGACAGGACGGAAAGACCCCAUGGAGCUUUACUGCAGUUUGAUAUUGAGUAUCUGUACCACAUGUACAGGAUAGGUAGGAGCCUAUGACCUCGGGACGCCAGUUUCGAGUGAGGCGUUGUUGGGAUACUACCCUUGUGUUAUGGCUACUCUAACCCAGAUAGGUUAUCCCUAUCGGAGACAGUGUCUGACGGGCAGUUUGACUGGGGCGGUCGCCUCCUAAAAGGUAACGGAGGCGCCCAAAGGUUCCCUCAGAAUGGUUGGAAAUCAUUCGCAGAGUGUAAAGGUAUAAGGGAGCUUGACUGCGAGAGCUACAACUCGAGCAGGGACGAAAGUCGGGCUUAGUGAUCCGGUGGUUCCGUAUGGAAGGGCCAUCGCUCAACGGAUAAAAGCUACCCUGGGGAUAACAGGCUUAUCUCCCCCAAGAGUUCACAUCGACGGGGAGGUUUGGCACCUCGAUGUCGGCUCGUCGCAUCCUGGGGCUGUAGUAGGUCCCAAGGGUUGGGCUGUUCGCCCAUUAAAGCGGCACGCGAGCUGGGUUCAGAACGUCGUGAGACAGUUCGGUCCCUAUCCGUCGCGGGCGUAGGAAAUUUGAGAGGAUCUGCUCCUAGUACGAGAGGACCAGAGUGGACUUACCGCUGGUGUACCAGUUGUUCUGCCAAGAGCAUCGCUGGGUAGCUAUGUAGGGAAGGGAUAAACGCUGAAAGCAUCUAAGUGUGAAGCCCACCUCAAGAUGAGAUUUCCCAUGAUUUUAUAUCAGUAAGAGCCCUGAGAGAUGAUCAGGUUGAUAGGUUAGAAGUGGAAGUGUGGUGACACAUGUAGCGGACUAAUACUAAUAGCUCGAGGACUUAUCC
RNAcentral lists this ribosomal RNA (2888 nucleotides) under human gut metagenome. RNAcentral's name for it is "bacterial LSU rRNA". It matches the Rfam family "Bacterial large subunit ribosomal RNA". The record is from RNAcentral.